GUGAGGAAUUUUCCGCAAUGGACGAAAGCCUGACGGAGCAAUGCCGCGUGAAGGAUGAAGGCCUAUGGGUUGUAAACUUCUUUUCUCAGAAAAGAAUUAUGACGGUAUCUGAGGAAUAAGCAUCGGCUAACUCUGUGCCAGCAGCCGCGGUAAGACAGAGGAUGCAAGCGUUAUCCGGAAUGAUUGGGCGUAAAGCGUCUGUAGGUUGUUUAAAAAGUAUUCUGUCAAAGAUUAGGGCUUAACCCUAGAUAGGCAGAAUAAACUUUUAAGCUAGAGUUUGGUAGAGGCAGAGGGAAUUCCCGGUGGAGCGGUGAAAUGCGUAGAUAUCGGGAGGAACACCAAAGGCGAAGGCACUCUGCUGGGCCAAUACUAACACUGAGAGACGAAAGCGAGGGGAGCAAAUGGGAUUAGAAACCCUGGUAGUCC
This 426-nucleotide ribosomal RNA is filed under the name uncultured bacterium. RNAcentral's name for it is "bacterial SSU rRNA". It matches the Rfam family "Bacterial small subunit ribosomal RNA", at positions 354 to 796 of the family's 1533-position model. The record is from RNAcentral.